UCGGGAAUUUUGGGCAAUGGGCGAAAGCCUGACCCAGCAACGCCGCGUGCAGGAUGAAGGCGUUAUGCGUUGUAAACUGCUUUUAUAUAGGAAGAAAUAGUCCUUGCGAGGAAAGUUGACGGUACUAUAUGAAUAAGCACCGGCUAACUCCGUGCCAGCAGCCGCGGUAAUACGGAGGGUGCAAGCGUUGUCCGGAUUUAUUGGGUUUAAAGGGUGCGUAGGCGGUUUAUUAAGUCAGUGGUGAAAGACGGUCGCUCAACGAUUGCAGUGCCAUUGAUACUGGUAGACUUGAGUAUGAUUGAGGUAGCUGGAAUGGAUAGUGUAGCGGUGAAAUGCAUAGAUAUUAUCCAGAACACCAAUUGCGUAGGCAAGUUACUAAGUCAUAACUGACGCUGAGGCACGAAAGUGUGGGUAUCAAACAGGAUUAGAUACCCGAGUAGUCCCUGAGCGGGCUGGCAAGGCGCAU
Molecule: ribosomal RNA, 466 nt
Filed under: uncultured bacterium
Lineage: Bacteria
Description: bacterial SSU rRNA
Rfam family: Bacterial small subunit ribosomal RNA
Source: RNAcentral